Long non-coding RNA from Corticium candelabrum, 497 nucleotides. RefSeq lists it as uncharacterized. NCBI's taxonomy places the organism in Eukaryota, Metazoa, Porifera, Homoscleromorpha, Homosclerophorida, Plakinidae. The record is from RefSeq and is a predicted model, not a curated record. The transcript has 3 exons.
UCCGUAGAUAGUGAACAGUCUUGAUGUGAUUAGAAUCUUUUGUGCGUUCAAGCUCAUUUUGACGAGUUUCGCUACCUCGGGGUGUUCAAAUUUAGUAUGGAAAAAAGACGUCAAAUGCGCUCGUCAGCGUAACGGAGUUUUGCCAACUUAAUAGAAGAAGAAGGCUCGUAAUGGCGUCCAUACUGUCUUCGCGCAACGGUCGAGUGCGCCGGAAGUUCUGGGCAAGUUGCAAGGUUGGAAACAUGCAAGUGAGCUAGACGAGGAAAGGAAUACCGGAAGUGCAGAGUUACUCAAGAAUGCACGUCGAUUUGAAGGUGAAGCCAGGAGUUUUGAAUAUUGUCACUUUGCAGACGUAGCAAUUGAUGAUGAAAUGAAAUUCUAAAGGAAAGAGCUAGUAGAAAUAAAUUUUUCAUAAAAUCGGUCUGUGAAGCGAAUCAGGGCCAUGGCCCUCUUGCCCUCACACCGUUAAUGUAUGCCUGCAUGAUCAGUUAUUACUC